This 71-nucleotide transfer RNA is filed under the name Marmota monax (woodchuck). RNAcentral describes it as "tRNA.Thr". The stretch from base 6 to 66 matches the Rfam family "tRNA", at positions 6 to 65 of the family's 71-position model. From Rfam's summary of the family: Transfer RNA (tRNA) molecules are approximately 80 nucleotides in length. Their secondary structure includes four short double-helical elements and three loops (D, anti-codon, and T loops). Further hydrogen bonds mediate the characteristic L-shaped molecular structure. tRNAs have two regions of fundamental functional importance: the anti-codon, which is responsible for specific mRNA codon recognition, and the 3' end, to which the tRNAs corresponding amino acid is attached (by aminoacyl-tRNA synthetases). tRNAs cope with the degeneracy of the genetic code in two manners: having more than one tRNA (with a specific anti-codon) for a particular amino acid; and 'wobble' base-pairing, i.e. permitting non-standard base-pairing at the 3rd anti-codon position. Lineage: Eukaryota; Metazoa; Chordata; Mammalia; Rodentia; Sciuridae. The record is from RNAcentral.
GGGGUUGUGGCUCAGAGGUCGAGCACUCGCCUGGUAUGCGUGAGGCACUGGGUUCCAUCCUCAGCACUACA